This 72-nucleotide transfer RNA is filed under the name Salmo salar (Atlantic salmon). It matches the Rfam family "tRNA". Rfam says of the family: Transfer RNA (tRNA) molecules are approximately 80 nucleotides in length. Lineage: Eukaryota; Metazoa; Chordata; Actinopteri; Salmoniformes; Salmonidae. The record is from Rfam by way of RNAcentral.
UCCCAUGUGGCUCAGUUGGUAGAGCAUGGCACUUGCAAUGCCAGGGUUGUGGGUUUGAUUCCCACAGGGGAC